UACGUAGGUGGCGAGCGUUGUCCGGAUUUACUGGGCGUAAAGGGAGCGUAGGCGGACUUUUAAGUGAGAUGUGAAAUACCCGGGCUUAACUUGGGUGCUGCAUUUCAAACUGGAAGUCUAGAGUGCAGGAGAGGAGAAGGGAAUUCCUAGUGUAGCGGUGAAAUGCGUAGAGAUUAGGAAGAACACCAGUGGCGAAGGCGAUUCUCUGGACUGUAACUGACGCUGAGGCUCGAAAGCGUGGGGAGCAAACAGGAUUAGAUACCCCGGUAGUCCCUGA
Molecule: ribosomal RNA, 277 nt
Filed under: uncultured prokaryote
Description: partial 16S ribosomal RNA
Rfam family: Bacterial small subunit ribosomal RNA
Source: RNAcentral